UGGUGGAGUGAUUUGUCUGGUUAAUUCCGUUAACGAACGAGACCUCAGCCUAUUAAAUAGUAUUGUCAUUUAUGGAAACAUAGGCAAAGACUUCUUAAAGGGACAUGUUGGGUUUACCAGCGGGAAGUUUGAGGCAAUAACA
This 142-nucleotide ribosomal RNA is filed under the name uncultured eukaryote. Its description in RNAcentral is "partial 18S ribosomal RNA". It matches the Rfam family "Eukaryotic small subunit ribosomal RNA", at positions 1299 to 1458 of the family's 1831-position model. The record is from RNAcentral.